Molecule: long non-coding RNA, 96 nt
Organism: Etheostoma cragini (Arkansas darter)
Lineage: Eukaryota; Metazoa; Chordata; Actinopteri; Perciformes; Percidae
Exons: 3
Source: RefSeq, a predicted model, not a curated record
GUCAGCAAGGCUCAGUGACUGUUAAAAAUUGUUAAAAACGUGACGUUUUAAACAAGGACCUUUUAAGUGUUUGGGCGGGUAAGUUGACGUACACCC